This 373-nucleotide ribosomal RNA is filed under the name uncultured bacterium. RNAcentral describes it as "bacterial SSU rRNA". It matches the Rfam family "Bacterial small subunit ribosomal RNA", at positions 525 to 896 of the family's 1533-position model. The record is from RNAcentral.
ACAUAGGGUGCAAGCGUUGUCCGGAAUUAUUGGGCGUAAAGAGCUCGUAGGUGGUUUGUUACGUCGGUUGUGAAAUUCAGGGGCUCAACCCCUGACUUGCAGCCGAUACGGGCAAGCUAGAGUUUGGUAGGGGAGACUGGAAUUCCUGGUGUAGCGGUGGAAUGCGCAGAUAUCAGGAGGAACACCAAUGGCGAAGGCAGGACUCUGGGCCAUUACUGACACUGAGGAGCGAAAGCGUGGGGAGCGAACAGGAUUAGAUACCCUGGUAGUCCACGCCGUAAACGGUGGGCACUAGUUGUGGGGACCUUCCACGGUCUCUGCGACGCAGCUAACGCAUUAAGUGCCCCGCCUGGGGAGUACGAUCGCAAGAUUA